This is a long non-coding RNA of Mangifera indica (mango), 544 nucleotides long. RefSeq lists it as uncharacterized. The record is from RefSeq and is a predicted model, not a curated record. Lineage: Eukaryota; Viridiplantae; Streptophyta; Magnoliopsida; Sapindales; Anacardiaceae. The transcript is spliced from 2 exons.
UCGCUAGAAUUAUAUAUAUUUUCAAGUGAACGGAACUUUGGGUAUUCUCAGUCAAAUCUCUUAAUAUACUUGUUGAAUCUGAAGUUGAAUUCAACAAAUCUGAAUUUUAUAUAGAGUUCCCAAGAGGGGUUCUGGCAACCAUAUCGGUAAUAUUAGCUCAUGGUGCAGCAGCAAUGGGACAGCUUUUCUUCUUUCACGUGAUUCUCAUUAGGAAGGUUAUUACAAAUGGCGCCUUGUAGGACUUCAUCUAUGAUAUUGGUUGUGUUUCAGUUAAGCAUACAAGUUUGGUUACUUCCGCAUUCUGCUUCCCCAGGUCUGUUGUUUUUAUUAGUAUAUGCAUUUCGAACACAAUCUGACAUAGCAGCAUAUUUUUGUACACUGCAUUGAUUUGUAUGGAGGAAUGUCUACGACAUCCAUUGAUUUGAACUGAAUUUUCAGAGUUGCAGAUGGUAACAUCUUUUGUCCAAUAUAGCAAAUAUUCCUUUGUACUAAGUGUGGUUCAACAAAACUGAUCUCAUAAAUAAAUCUUUCUUAAUCUUAGAAA